AUUGAACGCUGGCGGCAGGCCUAACACAUGCAAGUCGAGCGGAUGAAGGGAGCUUGCUCCUGGAUUCAUCGGCGGACGGGUGAGUAAUGCCUAUGAAUCUGCCUCUUAGUGGUGGAUAACGUCCAGUAACGGGCGCUGAUACCGCAUCCGUCCUGAGGCGGAAAGUGGGGGAUCUUCGGACCUCACGCUAUCAGAUGAGCCUAGGUCGGAUUAGCUAGUUGGUGGGGUAAAGGCUUACCAAGGCGACGAUCCGUAACUGGUCUGAGAGGAUGAUCAUUCACACUGGAACUGAGACACGGUCCAGACUCCUACGGGAGGCAGCAGUGGGGAAUAUUGGACAAUGGGCGAAAGCCUGAUCCAGCCAUGCCGCGUGUGUGAAGAAGGUCUUCGGAUUGUAAAGCACUUUAAGUUGGGAGGAAGGGAAGUAAGUUAAUACCUUGCUGUAUUGACGUUACCAACAGAAUAAGCACCGGCUAACUUCGUG
Molecule: ribosomal RNA, 484 nt
Filed under: uncultured bacterium
Lineage: Bacteria
Description: partial 16S ribosomal RNA
Rfam family: Bacterial small subunit ribosomal RNA
Source: RNAcentral